GAAAUUGAACUCGCUGUGAAGAUGCAGUGUACCCGCGGCAAGACGGAAAGACCCCGUGAACCUUUACUAUAGCUUGACACUGAACAUUGAGCCUUGAUGUGUAGGAUAGGUGGGAGGCUUUGAAGCGUGGACGCCAGUCUGCGUGGAGCCGACCUUGAAAUACCACCCUUUAAUGUUUGAUGUUCUAACGUGGACCCGUAAUCCGGGUUGCGGACAGUGUCUGGUGGGUAGUUUGACUGGGGCGGUCUCCUCCUAAAGAGUAACGGAGGAGCACGAAGGUUGGCUAAUCCUGGUCGGACAUCAGGAGGUUAGUGCAAUGGCAUAAGCCAGCUUGACUGCGAGCGUGACGGCGCGAGCAGGUGCGAAAGCAGGUCAUAGUGAUCCGGUGGUUCUGAAUGGAAGGGCCAUCGCUCAACGGAUAAAAGGUACUCCGGGGAUAACAGGCUGAUACCGCCCAAGAGUUCAUAUCGACGGCGGUGUUUGGCACCUCGAUGUCGGCUCAUCACAUCCUGGGGCUGAAGUAGGUCCCAAGGGUAUGGCUGUUCGCCAUUUAAAGUGGUACGCGAGCUGGGUUUAGAACGUCGUGAGACAGUUCGGUCCCUAUCUGCCGUGGGCGCUGGAGAACUGAGGGGGGCUGCUCCUAGUACGAGAGGACCGGAGUGGACGCAUCACUGGUGUUCGGGUUGUCAUGCCAAUGGCACUGCCCGGUAGCUAAAUGCGGAAGAGAUAAGUGCUGAAAGCAUCUAAGCACGAAACUUGCCCCGA
Molecule: ribosomal RNA, 765 nt
Filed under: Salmonella enterica
Lineage: Bacteria; Pseudomonadati; Pseudomonadota; Gammaproteobacteria; Enterobacterales; Enterobacteriaceae
Description: partial 23S ribosomal RNA
Rfam family: Bacterial large subunit ribosomal RNA
Source: RNAcentral